CCCCCUCAGACCAGCAGUCCUGCUGAAGUUGGCGAAAAAAGCGAAUUUCAGCAACGGGAGGGGUUAGAUGAGAUGUCACAGAAGCAGCCUCACCUUCAGCCCUGACCUGCUGCUCCACUUCAGGUUUUCCCUACACACAGAGCUGAUACUGUCUGCUCAGGCAGAGGACCGUGUGAAGGACAGUCAAAAACUAAGAAGGUGACAGUCACGCUUUAAUCUUGCAUAAACACUAUAAUUAUAUUGAAGGGUUUUUUUUAAGUUUUUAACACAU
Molecule: long non-coding RNA, 271 nt
Organism: Vidua macroura (Pin-tailed whydah)
Lineage: Eukaryota; Metazoa; Chordata; Aves; Passeriformes; Viduidae
Exons: 3
Source: RefSeq, a predicted model, not a curated record